Rhinopithecus roxellana (golden snub-nosed monkey) is the source of this 893-nucleotide RNA transcript. It is a transcript of the gene named spindle and kinetochore-associated protein 1 pseudogene, with no coding region annotated. The record is from RefSeq and is a predicted model, not a curated record. NCBI's taxonomy places the organism in Eukaryota, Metazoa, Chordata, Mammalia, Primates, Cercopithecidae. The transcript has a single exon.
CUUAAAGGAUGGCCUCUUCAGAUCUGGAACAGUUAUGCUCUCAUGUUAAUGAAAAGAUUGGCAAUAUUAAGAAAACCUUGUCAUUAAGAAACUGUGGCCAGGAACCUACCUUGAAGACAGUAUUAAAUAAAAUAGGAGAUGAGAUCAUUGUAGUAAAUGAACUUCUAAAUAAAUUGGAAUUGGAAAUUCAGUAUCAAGAACAAACCAACAAUUCACUCAAGGAACUCUGUGAAUCUCUUGAAGAAGAUUACAAAGACGUAGAACAUCUUAAAGAAAACAUUCCUUCCCAUUUGCCUCAAGUAACAGUAGCCCAGAGCUGUGUUAAGGGAUCAGAUCUUGAUCCUGAAGAACCAUUCAAAGUUGAGGAACCUGAACCCAUAAAGAAGCCUCCCAAAGAACAAAGAAGUAUUAAGGAAAUGCCAUUUAUAGCUUGUGAUGAGUUCAGUGGUGUUCCUUCGUACAUGAAAUCCCGCUUAACCUAUGGUCAAAUUAAUGAUGUUAUUAAAGAAAUCAACAAGGCAGUAAUUAGUAAAUAUAAAAUCCUACAUCAGCCAAAAAAGUCUAUGAAUUAUGUGGCCAGAAAUCUCUAUCACAGAUUUAUUGAUGAAGAAACGAAGGAUACCAAAGGUCGUUAUUUUAUAGUGGAAGCUGACAUAAAGGAGUUCACGACUUUGAAAGUUGACAAGAAGUUUCACGUGUUACUGAAUAUUUUACGACACUGCCGGAGGCUAUCAGAGGUCCGAGGGGGAGGACUUACUCGUUACGUUAUAACCUGAGUCCCUUGUGAACUUUUGAACGGACCAAUAGGGUAUAGAGGCUAUUUCUAUAAUUUUCUUAUAUAUAAUUUUUUUAACUUUUAGUCUUUUUUGUUUCCUUUUUUUUCUUUGAGACGG